Molecule: long non-coding RNA, 970 nt
Organism: Parus major (Great Tit)
Lineage: Eukaryota; Metazoa; Chordata; Aves; Passeriformes; Paridae
Exons: 5
Source: RefSeq, a predicted model, not a curated record
UUCUCAAGAUUUCCCUGUUCCCAUUAUUGAUGCAAAAUAUUAAUUGCUAAUCACUGAGAUAAUUUUCUCCAAUAGUGUUUGAUUGUUUCUUUUCAACAUUUAUCUCAUAUUGGAUACAAUGAGAUGCUGAAUCAAUACAUUAAAGUUUAAAUGCAAUAUUUUACUUUCUCUGAAAAGUGCUUGUUAUAACAUUUGUAAAUAUCAUUAUAGACACUUUAUUUAAAAUGCUUCUAUUUUUACUACAGUGCACAAACAACAGAAAACUGAAAAAUAUUUUAUUCAGCUCUUUAUCACAGUUCAAUUAUGGAAUGAAGAUAUCUCAUAAGAAGCUGAAGGGCUGAAAGCAAGGUGUUUGGAGGCAUCUGAAUGGGAAGCUCAGAAUUGUUUUGCUUAGUUUUAGACACCCAGCACUAUCAGGUGGCUGAUCUCUCUGGGUUUCCUCUCCUCCAGAAGGAAUGCUCAAGUGCUGCCAGCUUGCAGAGACAAUAUUGCAACAUCCUCAGAUGAACUUGCUAGACCCACCCUAAUGCUCUGGGGUUGUCCCCUGCCUGAUGGGCUGCCACCAAGGCUCUAAAACCCUCGCACACAAAGGCACCACGGGACUCCCACCCUCGACGUGAGCGCUCUGCCUGCCUCUGGCGCUGCCUGUCAGACCCGCUUCAGCUGGAAUCAAGUUUACAGUCUCUUCACGGCCCAGAAGGAGGAAAGAAAAUGAAGAAGAGAACAAAUAUUAUGGCAUCCUUGCUUUCCUGAGGCUGGUAAUCCAGCCAGUUGCAGUCUCAGCCUCUAAGAGCUCAGUUUUCCCAGUAGCUUUAGGAAUAUUUCCUGCAGGCUUGCCUCUCUGAUGUCACAGCUCACAGAGAACCAUGGGAGGUUUGAAUUUUGGCUUCUCUUUGGAGUAUUUUACAAGGACAGAGAUUUUACAUGCUAAAAUGCGCUCUGUAAAGCACAGCUGUAAAAAAAAAAAAAA